Mastomys coucha (southern multimammate mouse) is the source of this 221-nucleotide long non-coding RNA. RefSeq lists it as uncharacterized. The transcript has 3 exons. The record is from RefSeq and is a predicted model, not a curated record. Lineage: Eukaryota; Metazoa; Chordata; Mammalia; Rodentia; Muridae.
UGCAGAGAAGGGAGCAGGCUAGUCACAGCUGGGACCACUGAUUACAGGGCGGUGUGAGGAAGAAAAUGCCGCAGAGAUAAAUGCUUACUGAGGAGGACAGAAAGACUACCUUCACCACAUGAACCUGCCAGAAAUUGAUGCCUCACCAGAAAUCCAAAGUCACCCUCUCCAUCAGUUCUAGCAUUACUGUCAGUCUUGAAAAAGCAAAAUAAGAUCAUGAG